RNAcentral lists this ribosomal RNA (253 nucleotides) under uncultured bacterium. Its description in RNAcentral is "partial 16S ribosomal RNA". It matches the Rfam family "Bacterial small subunit ribosomal RNA", at positions 524 to 776 of the family's 1533-position model. The record is from RNAcentral.
UACGGGGGGGGCAAGCGUUGUUCGGAAUUACUGGGCGUAAAGGGCUCGUAGGCGGCCAACUAAGUCAGACGUGAAAUCCCUCGGCUUAACCGGGGAACUGCAUCUGAUACUGGAUGGCUUGAGUUCGGGAGAGGGAUGCGGAAUUCCAGGUGUAGCGGUGAAAUGCGUAGAUAUCUGGAGGAACACCGGUGGCGAAGGCGGGAUCCUGGGCCAGUACUGACGCUGAGGAGCGAAAGCGUGGGGAGCAAACAGG